AGCAGCGUGACUUAGUGGAAAGAGUGCGGGCUUGGGAGUCAGAGGACGUGGGUUCCAAUCCCGCCUCUACCA
Molecule: transfer RNA, 72 nt
Filed under: Ornithorhynchus anatinus (platypus)
Lineage: Eukaryota; Metazoa; Chordata; Mammalia; Monotremata; Ornithorhynchidae
Rfam family: tRNA
About the family: Transfer RNA (tRNA) molecules are approximately 80 nucleotides in length. Their secondary structure includes four short double-helical elements and three loops (D, anti-codon, and T loops). Further hydrogen bonds mediate the characteristic L-shaped molecular structure. tRNAs have two regions of fundamental functional importance: the anti-codon, which is responsible for specific mRNA codon recognition, and the 3' end, to which the tRNAs corresponding amino acid is attached (by aminoacyl-tRNA synthetases). tRNAs cope with the degeneracy of the genetic code in two manners: having more than one tRNA (with a specific anti-codon) for a particular amino acid; and 'wobble' base-pairing, i.e. permitting non-standard base-pairing at the 3rd anti-codon position.
Source: Rfam by way of RNAcentral